AGGAGAAGUCUGCUGCUCUGCAGGAUGUUUCAAGGAUGGGGUCCAACAAUGCAGCAAGAGAGACAAUCCGUGAGCGGGAGCUCUUCAUCUCCUACUUCUUCGAAGAGGGUGCUGUUCCCUGGCAACACUAUAGACUACACUAUGCACAACCAAAGGCUCUUUUAACCUCUUGGGGCUAGGGGGCACGAUCUUCAUUUUUGGAAAAAUAACGUUCCCAAAGUAAACGGGCUAUUUCUCAGGACCAGAUGCUACAAUAUGCAUAUAAUUGACAGCUUAGGAUAGAAAACACUAAAAUUUCCAAAACUGUAAAAAAUAUUGUCUGUGCGUAUAAGAGCCAUUCAAAUUUUAAUAACAGUAUUCUUCCAUUUACUUAGCUAUGUUAACUGCAGUUCUCCAAUUCCCAAUUUCUUUCCUUUUGAUUUCUACUUCUCAGGUGAGGGUGCUGUUUAGGUAAGGGGGUGAUGUCUGUACAAAAACAAAACACUAUUUUAAGUCACUCAUAUUGAAAAACAUUUGAACAAAUACAUGCCCUAUAACCCACACUUACACACUCAUGUAUCAAUCUGAUCGAUGGAUUGUGUUGUGCAGUAAGCAGGUUCAGGUGUAUAACUGUGGCUCCUUCCACCUUCAAAGAAUAGGCAAGAGGGCCUAUGCUAUAUUGCUUGUCCUCGUGUGUCUGUGCAUGUUUUUCAGUAUAAAGUACUCUGAAGCCACUUAGUGUGGACGCCCGGUGAGGCUACACACACAGAUACCUGUUGAACACAGUCUCUUUAACUACCUUAUUUUCUCAAUAACAGUCUCUCUCCCUCACUUCAUCCCUCCCCCGUCUCCCUAAAUCCCCUAGGUUAUAUCAGCUACGUCGGUGAACUGGCUACAUAGAGGGCAUAGCAGGACCAGAGGUAUGUUUUGAUGUGAGAGAGGAUGCCAACCCCCAGUCCCAUCAUCGCCACCUCACCCGCUCUUAAGAUAAACUUUGGGCCAACUGGGGGCCCAAGGCUGGUUAGGAGACACCGCUAGAGACACUAUUAUGUAAUUGGGAUGAACUGAGUGAAUAUUAGAGUAGCACUGUGAUUCAUUAAUCAUAUGCUGUCUUCCUUGCUCCUCUGUUCUUACCUCUUUCCCUUUCUGUUACACUCUUCACACCUCUCUCCCCACCUCUUUCUUCCUCUGUUUUAUAAUGCACACCAGAUGUGCAUUGAAG
Oncorhynchus tshawytscha (Chinook salmon) is the source of this 1201-nucleotide long non-coding RNA. NCBI's taxonomy places the organism in Eukaryota, Metazoa, Chordata, Actinopteri, Salmoniformes, Salmonidae. The record is from Ensembl.